This 1373-nucleotide ribosomal RNA is filed under the name uncultured bacterium. RNAcentral's name for it is "bacterial SSU rRNA". It matches the Rfam family "Bacterial small subunit ribosomal RNA", at positions 28 to 1381 of the family's 1533-position model. The record is from RNAcentral.
GAUGAACGCUGGCGGCGUGCCUAAUACAUGCAAGUCGAGCGAACAGAUGAGAAGCUUGCUUCUCUGAUGUUAGCGGCGGACGGGUGAGUAACACGUGGGUAACCUACCUAUAAGACUGGGAUAACUCCGGGAAACCGGGGCUAAUACCGGAUAAUAUUUUGAACCGCAUGGUUCAAUAGUGAAAGACGGUUUCGGCUGUCACUUAUAGAUGGACCCGCGCCGUAUUAGCUAGUUGGUAAGGUAACGGCUUACCAAGGCGACGAUACGUAGCCGACCUGAGAGGGUGAUCGGCCACACUGGAACUGAGACACGGUCCAGACUCCUACGGGAGGCAGCAGUAGGGAAUCUUCCGCAAUGGGCGAAAGCCUGACGGAGCAACGCCGCGUGAGUGGUGAAGGUCUUCGGAUCGUAAAACUCUGUUGUUAGGGAAGAACAAAUUUGUUAGUAACUGAACAAGUCUUGACGGUACCUAACCAGAAAGCCACGGCUAACUACGUGCCAGCAGCCGCGGUAAUACGUAGGUGGCAAGCGUUAUCCGGAAUUAUUGGGCGUAAAGCGCGCGUAGGCGGUUUCUUAAGUCUGAUGUGAAAGCCCACGGCUCAACCGUGGAGGGUCAUUGGAAACUGGGAAACUUGAGUGCAGAAGAGGAGAGUGGAAUUCCAUGUGUAGCGGUGAAAUGCGCAGAGAUAUGGAGGAACACCAGUGGCGGAGGCGGCUCUCUGGUCUGUAACUGACGCUGAUGUGCGAAAGCGUGGGGAUCAAACAGGAUUAGAUACCCUGGUAGUCCACGCCGUAAACGAUGAGUGCUAAGUGUUAGGGGGUUUCCGCCCCUUAGUGCUGCAGCUAACGCAUUAAGCACUCCGCCUGGGGAGUACGACCGCAAGGUUGAAACUCAAAGGAAUUGACGGGGACCCGCGCAAGCUGUGGAGCAUGUGGUUUAAUUCGAAGCAACGCGAAGAACCUUACCAAAUCUUGACAUCCUUUGACCGCUCUAGAGAUAGAGUCUUCCCCUUCGGGGGACAAAGUGACAGGUGGUGCAUGGUUGUCGUCAGCUCGUGUCGUGAGAUGUUGGGUUAAGUCCCGCAACGAGCGCAACCCUUAAGCUUAGUUGCCAUCAUUAAGUUGGGCACUCUAGGUUGACUGCCGGUGACAAACCGGAGGAAGGUGGGGAUGACGUCAAAUCAUCAUGCCCCUUAUGAUUUGGGCUACACACGUGCUACAAUGGAUAAUACAAAGGGCAGCGAAUCCGCGAGGCCAAGCAAAUCCCAUAAAAUUAUUCUCAGUUCGGAUUGUAGUCUGCAACUCGACUACAUGAAGCUGGAAUCGCUAGUAAUCGUAGAUCAGCAUGCUACGGUGAAUACGUUCCCGGGUCU